CCCUUAGAUGUUCUGGGCUGCACGCGCGCUACACUGAUGCAUCCAACAAGUUUUUUCCUUGUUCGAGAGGACUAGGUAAUCUUAUGAGAAUGCAUCGUGAUGGGGAUAGAUUAUUGCAAUUAUUAAUCUUCAACGAGGAAUUCCUAGUAAGCGCGAGUCAUCAGCUCGUGCUGAUUACGUCCCUGCCCUUUGUACACACCGCCCGUCGCUGCAACUGAUUGAAUGGUUUAGUGAGAUCUCUGGAUUGACGCUGGCUAGGGGGCGACCCUUGGCCAGACUGUUGAGAAACUGCUCAAACUUGAUCAUUUAGAGGAAGUAAAAGUCGUAACA
This 330-nucleotide ribosomal RNA is filed under the name uncultured eukaryote. Its description in RNAcentral is "partial 18S ribosomal RNA". It matches the Rfam family "Eukaryotic small subunit ribosomal RNA", at positions 1470 to 1796 of the family's 1831-position model. The record is from RNAcentral.